UACGUAGGGUGCAAGCGUUAAUCGGAAUUACUGGGCGUAAAGCGUGCGCAGGCGGUGCUGUAAGACAGGUGUGAAAUCCCCGGGCUUAACCUGGGAACUGCAUUUGUGACUGCAUCGCUGGAGUGCGGCAGAGGGGGAUGGAAUUCCGCGUGUAGCAGUGAAAUGCGUAGAUAUGCGGAGGAACACCGAUGGCGAAGGCAAUCCCCUGGGCCUGCACUGACGCUCAUGCACGAAAGCGUGGGGAGCAAAAGGG
This 253-nucleotide ribosomal RNA is filed under the name uncultured bacterium. RNAcentral describes it as "partial 16S ribosomal RNA". It matches the Rfam family "Bacterial small subunit ribosomal RNA", at positions 524 to 776 of the family's 1533-position model. The record is from RNAcentral.